This 73-nucleotide transfer RNA is filed under the name Phycisphaerae bacterium. RNAcentral describes it as "tRNA-Gln". It matches the Rfam family "tRNA". From Rfam's summary of the family: Transfer RNA (tRNA) molecules are approximately 80 nucleotides in length. RNAcentral also lists the same sequence under 1 other name. The record is from RNAcentral. Lineage: Bacteria; Pseudomonadati; Planctomycetota; Phycisphaerae.
UGGCCUGUAGUUCAAUUGGCAGAACGUCUGACUCUGGAUCAGAAGGUUCUAGGUUCGAUUCCUAGCAGGCCAG